Molecule: long non-coding RNA, 26569 nt
Filed under: Ananas comosus (pineapple)
Lineage: Eukaryota; Viridiplantae; Streptophyta; Magnoliopsida; Poales; Bromeliaceae
Description: long non-coding RNA (ACOM_LNC030233)
Source: RNAcentral
UUUUUUUACCUGGUGAUCAAACGGAGAAAGUCGAAUGAUGAACUGGAUGAAGCGGUGCGGGCAAGGGUAUCGCUAUUCUCUUCUUUUUCUUGUAUGUAGAUAUGGGUAUCGUAAAGGUGGCAUUGCUAUUAUCUCCUCUCUGUAUCGACCGUAUUGCUAUUAUCUCUAUCCGUAUCGCUAUUCUCUCCGUGUCAUCUCUUUUUUUCUAUUUAUAGCAGAAUGAGAAAAUCUGAGGAAUUGUGUGAGUGGGUUUAGAUAUUUCUUUUUACAGUGGGGCGAUUCGUGGGGUUGGGCGAGAGAUAUUUUGGAGAGUCGGUUAAGAAUUCAAAAUUCGAAAUCAAAUUUUGAAUUAGGCGGUUGAGGGGAGAAAUAUUUUCUAGCUGAUUGGAAAUUCAAAAAUUCGAAACUUGAAUUUUGGGAUGUGGAUGUGAUUGGUUAAGAAAAAGAUAUUUUAGGAGUUGGUUAGGGAUUUAAAAUUCAAAAUCAAAUUUUAAAUAGGAAAGGAUAUAUAUGAAGUUGCUAGGAGGAAAGAAAUUUUCUAAUUGGUUGGAAAUUUAAAAAUUCAAAAUUGAAUAUAAUAUUUUUAAAAUUCAAAUUUGAAUUUUCUGAUGUGGAUAUAGCUGUCAUCUAAUAGGUUAGGUUGAAUUUAAAUCCAUUGGGUUCAUUUUGAUGAAACCUGUUGGGCACAAAUAAUAAUAUUCGUCUGACUGAAAUAAAGCCUGAAUUAUUGGAUAGACUAAAAAAAUUUCAUGGGUUUUUAUUAGUCCCUGUAAUACAUUAGAUUUUUAUUAUAAAAAUAAGUGCAAAUAAAAAUAGUAUGAAAUACUAUUUUUAUUGGACCUUGAAAAAAUAAAAAAUAAUUUGAAAAUGCUUUGUUGUAAAAUCGAAAUGAAAAUAGUAGAUUUGAAAUUUUCUACAAGGACCGGGGCUUGUAUUUUAAUCGAAAUUUACAGUAACAAAAAAUUAUGAAACUUUGGAAAGUUGUCUGUACUAACUUUCUGAUAUUAGAUUUUAAGUUUCGUAUGGUUCGGAUACCUGAGUAGUGAAAACGGAACUUAAUAGCAUUCUGUUAGAGAUUUUUGUCGACGGAGCUUUCGGUGAUUGAAAAUGGUCUGAAGCUGAAAUGUUAUGGUAAUUACUUUAACUUAACUUUCAUUGAGACAGCCCACCAAAUUUGAUUAUAAACUGACAUUCAGAAGGACUCCAAUUGAGCAUAUCAGCUCGAGAUUGGAUUAAAUUGAGAGUAUUGGUGAUUUGUGGACUUAUUCAUAUUGUGAUAACUUAGGGCAUGUUUGUUUGGACGGAAGUGGGGUGAAAGUGGAGAGGAGGAAAGCCGUUUUCACUCUAAACGCUACUUUUGUUGUUUGAUUCGUCGUAAAAUAGUUACGGUCGAAACUCUAAGUUAACGGCGUAAUUGGCUUCGGCCAAUGAGUGAAAACUCCCUUGCUCCCAAUCUGUACGCAAGAGAGAGAGAGAGAGAGAGAGAGAGGAAAGAAAAGAAAAGGAGAAGAGGAGAAAGAGAAGAAGAAAAAGAUGGGUUUGGAGAUUUUGGGUUUUUCGACCAGCCGAUCGGAGCCCCGCGCGCGUAAAAUUUAUUUGACAUUUCGACGGCAAGGUUAGUACUAAAUUACUAUUAUCUCCUUCUCUCGUUUCGACUAUUUUGUCGACGUUUUGGUGACCGAUUUAACGAAGGAGUUUUGUUGGAAGAAAAUUAGGUUUGGUAAUCGAGUUUACUAUGCGACUUUUGGAGCCGAACUCGCAUGCUUUUCGCCGCAGGAUUUAUGAAGUGCUGGCGUGUGCAUGCUCGCUGCCGUGUGGUCGGGAAAAAAUUGCUGGUGCAGUCAGCAGGAAAAGCGGCAGCAGGGGCUGCCAGCAGCAGCAGCAGCAGCAGCAGCAGAGGUUGCUGCUGCGGCUGCUGCUACAAACAGUAGCAGCGGCAAGUGCAGCGGCGAGCGCAGUAGUGGUUUGUGCGGAAAUAGCUCAUGACGUUGAUUCGUGGCCGCGGCACCACCGUGCUUUUGGAGACUCCGAUCGAGUCCAAUCUUGCCUCAAUUUCGAAAUUGAAAUUGAUCUGAGGGUGAGGAUGGCAGUGAGCUUCAGAUUGCACCUUACUCCAAUCGGAAUUAAAGUGACUUGGAAUGAGAUUGAGUUAAUGUUUCGAAACGAACCGAAAUUCAGGUUUUGUUGGAUAUUUUCUAACUUCUCCAUCCAUUUCUCGUCUUUGGGUUGUAGACAUCAAAUUGAAUUCGUGUUAAUAUUCCAGCAAGGAAGAGGAACCUAUGGAAUUGUCCCUACAACUAACAUUUCAGGUUAGUAAGUUGAACCGGACGACGAUUUUGAAAUUUAAUUGGAAUUGAACUGAUUUUGAGCGAUUGUGAGAAUUGCGUUGAUUUCGUCGUCCAUUUCUUCCAGCCAAAUACUACUUUUGGUCAUUUUGGAGUCACUCUUACCGGAUUUUGAGGUAACUUAAAUUAUCCUUAAUGAAAAUUCAGCAUUCAUGAACCGAAUUGCCGAAUUAAUGGAAUUCAGUUCUUGCAAUUGCCUUGACAGCAAUCUUACUGAUUUUGGAGUUUUCGUAGUGGAUUCCCUGCUAGAUUGAGCUGAGAAAAGGCGCAUUGGAGGUUGAGUGCUCGCUGCUACUGGAUUAGCAAUCCGAGGUGGGUUCCGAGUCGUCGAAAAUGACGAAUUUCCUUCUAUGUCUAUUUGCAUGCAUAUGCAUAUGUAUUUUGGUCACAUGGAUUGAUAAGGACUAUGUUAGCAUGGGAAUUGAUUAGAACGUAUCUAGUACGUAUCUGUGUGAGUGAUAAUUUAUGCAUGACACUCAGGCGAGUAGCCAUGACGUAUGUACAUAUAUGUGGUUAUAUACAUUGAUAGAAACGAUAUUCGCAUGAAAUGGAGUAGAGGGUAAGGAUUUCAAUUUAUUCUCAAAUAGAUCCUAAUUUAGGCCGUGCUGUCACUAUCUCAUAUUAGAUAUUCUAGCUUAGGUCGUGGGAGGCCAGUUGACAUCAUAUGCAUCAUGGUGAGUCAUUUACUAUUCAUUUAUAUUGUACAUAUCACAACUUAUGUGAUAGAAGUCAUUGAUAGUUCGGCGGUAGUGUGCAGAUGUUUGGAAAUAGAGAGGGAAUAUGAAUAUUCUAUUAUGAAAUCUAACUGAAAGAUUACUUUAUGAUUGUACUGAGGAUAUUGGAUUGGGUACUUGUGAGCUCUUUGAUCAUCACAUGGACCACAGCCUGCAGGACCAUAUUGAGAUUGACAGUGUUACAUACUAUGAGACUCGGUAGCGGUCGCUCCUCUUCGAGUGCCGCUCCGGAUGCUGGCCAGUUGUAGCAGAGAUAUAUGUGCCCUUGGGAAGAGGAUGGGCAGAGCCUAGGUGUCGACGGUGCACCUACGGGAGUGCGUUUCGGCACUAAGCGGGCGCAGGCUUGACCGGACGUAUGAGUCGGUCGUUGUGAUUGGAUACUAUUACAUCAUUUGUUUAGUAGUAGUUACAUUGAUGCAUACACUACUCAGUUUCUUUCAUUUCCUCUCACUACAUAUACAAGGAUAUGGUAGUGCAUUAGCUAUAGAGAUCUGUUCAUAUUACAUGCAGUUAUUCUAUUAUUGUUACUUACAUUUCUCUAUGCAGGUCCUAGCCAGUUAGUUCUUACUGUACCCUACGUUCAUCUAUUCAGAUCAGAGCAAGUUAUCUUUACUGUUACUUACAGUCACUCGUUUACUUGUUCAGAUCAUUUACCUAUAUACAUUAGUGCCAGUUACAUUUAGCUACUCAUAUACUGUAUAUUGUACUGGUCUUUCACGAAUCUGGCCUCCAGUAGAUCUAAUGGAAAGAUCGUGGUUAUCGUCGACCGUACCCACGGGGAACUAUUGGUUCAGUAGUUCUCAUACCCUUUUGUGGUUUACUUUUCAAGACUCUGAAUACCGAUAGCUAAUCGAGGUGAGAGGGAUCGUGCGGUAGAUAGCGUCUCCCACCAGCUUACCUAGACAUUAGAGGACUCCUAGUUAGAAGGUCACUCUGUACUACACACCUGUACUGGCGAGGGCCAGAGCCUUUUUCUUGUACUUUUAUUUUGGGGGUUGAGUUUAUUUGAUGUAGUACAUGAUGUAUGGCAGUUUAGUUUGGAGAUAGUGUUAUGAUACAUAUUGUUUGUUUAUUUCAUACUUUAUUUUUGAUUUUUGUGAUGUGGAAACAUUUCCGUUCGACCUCUUGAAUUACCUUUUCCUGUUCUAUUAUGUUGACGCUUCGUUCGGAUAGAGAAAACUCUAUCCGUUCGACUGGUCUGUUGACGUCUCCGUGGGCUUCCGCUGUAGACUCGGGGCGUAACAUAAACGGACAAAAAAUUACAAAAAUAGUUUUUAUGAAAGUUUUUUUUUUGAAUUUUUUUUUUUCACUCUUUUUUGAGGAACCAAGCAGCCCCUUAUAUUGCACUGAAAACGUGGGCUAGACUAAAUUAAGUCGAUGUAAAGUUAACUAUGUCGGAUCGUUGGUGUUAACCACUAAUUCCAAAAGCUCGAGCUAUUAGAAAUACGCAAUCAUUUACUUAAAGCGUACAGAUACAGUGCCAACGAGUCUCGAUUGUGACUCAGCCCACCUAGUCUCACACCACUUUGAAUAUGACUCGGUUCAACCUAGUCUCACGUCAUUUCGAACAUGAUUUGGUCCGCAUGGCCUCCCGCCACAGGGCAGGAUGCUGGCCCAUUUAAGCCAACAAAUUAAACUCCAAUUGACGCAAUUUGGACUUAGGUGCUGCUCCUACACUUUAUUUUUUGGGUUAUUUUUUUUGCGGAUCCUUUCACUCUAUGUCUAAGUUACAUAGAUAUUUUUUUAAAAAUAAUCUUAAUUAAUUUUUUUAAAAAAUUUAUAUAAUUAUCCAGUUACUUUUUAUUAAUUAACUUUGUUUAAAAUUUGGUCGUUUGUCUAUUUCUUCCAUUAAGAGCUGUAAAAUUUAGAGUUUAGGAUUGUAGGGUUUAGGGUUUUAGAGUUUUUAGGGUUAUUAGGAUUUUAGGGGUUUUUCGGGUUUUAGGAUUUUAGAUUUUUAAAAUUUUUCAGGAUUUUAGGGUUUAGAAUUUAGGAGCUCGGACAUGUGAGUCUAAUCAGCGAUUACCUGCAAAAAAAUUUCAUUAGUCUUUUAGGGUAACCAAAAAUGUUAACUAUAAUAAGCUAAAAAGGGUCAAAUUAGUUAUUUUAUAUUUUAACUUAAGUAAAAUUUCAUGUUAACUAGACGUUUUAAUACUAAUGAUAUUGACAAUUUUGAAAGAGUAUUUAUGAUAUUUUUCAAAUUUUAAGCGGCAUGUUAAAAAUUGCCCCUUAUUUCUUUUUUUAAAGAAACAAUUGCUUAUGUACCACGGAAAACUUUCCGACUUUUCGAUUUACUCAUCGUAGAAAGUUAAUAUUAAAAAUAUCCUUUUUACGUUACAACCUAUUUCUAAUAUACCCAUAGAGUUAAAAUCUGUUAUCUCUAUAAAAUUAUUAUUUUGCCCUUUCAAAUAUACCCUUCCACCAUUACCGGCUUUCUUAUUUGCCCUUAAAGUCAGGGACAUAAAAAAUAUUUUGACUUUUGGUCUUUUUAAAUAUACCCCUCUACCGUCACCAAUAUUUCUUAUUUACUUUUAAGUUAAGGGCAAAAUUGACAUUUUAAUAUUUUUUAACUGUGGUAGAUAUUGAACUCACAUUUAACCCAAGUUAACUUAAGAGGAGAUAACUGUGGGGGUAUUUUGCAAUAACGGUGGAACAUAUGAUGGAUAUUUUAGAAAAAAAAAAAAGAUAAAUUUGAUAUUUUUGAACGUAUGAGGAGUAUAUAGACGAUUAUCUCUUUUUUAAAUGUGGUUCAUAUAUUGUUGUUUUAUAAUUCAGAUUUUACGCUCUUCCACUCGUGACCUAUAAUAGAUCAUUUGAUAGCGGCACAUGUACGAAAUACUCCAGAGAAAGAUAUUUUUAUUCAUCUUGUCAUAACAGAAUCGCCGUAUCUUCGACAACACUAGCUUUACUGCCCUCUCCACCGCUAGUUGUAUUCGAAAGCUAAUCGCCGAUGUCGACCUCUCACCUUUGUCUUGGUCUCAAAAAAGUAUUUUCGUCUGAGUCUUUAAAUAUAAUAAUAAUAAUAAUAAUUCAAAUUUCAACUCAUAUUCACAAAUAGAACCUCUAUUCUAUUUUAUUUUUUUUUCGAAUCAUAAAAUAUUAGAUCCGAAAAAUAGACGGGUUGAAUAAAUCGCAGAUGGAUUAUUACAUCCGCAAAUCAUAUGAAUAUGAAUAAAAUUUACCUGCAAGUUUUUUAAUAGCCUAUAUAUCUAUCCAUACCCGUCCAUGGGCGCAAGUUUUUUUUUUUUGCUUAUAUACUUUUUAAAUGCAAAAUACUUAUACAUAAUUUUUAAAAGAUCACAAUAUAAUUUGUUGUUUGAAAUAUCAGAACAUACAAUUAAUAAUAUAAAGUCUUAAAAUUCAUAAAUUACAUGUAAAAGUAUUUUACAUGUAGGAUGGGCCGCCAAAGGAUGGUGGCGCCGUGCGGCGGCAGAGACUGCGCGGUAGUAGAGCUGGCCACAGUAGGUUUAGAAUAUUUAGGAAUGGAUAAACAAAAUGAACAUAUAUUUUUUAAUUAAAAAACAUAUGCGAAUAAUUGUCUGCACCGGUGGCUGCCUAAAAUGCCCACAAUUUAACUGGCACGCACCCGUUUUAUUUAUAAUUUUUUCAGUAAGAAAAAUUAGUAUCCAUACCUAUAAAUUUUUGGAUAAUCCAUGGCUGCCUGCGGAUACAGAUAGAAAUUGCCAAAUCUACAAAAUAGAUACGACUCUUCGGUUGUAUUAAAAUUGUUGAUAAAUUUCAAGAAGAUCCGUUCACUUUAGCCUAGGAAUUAAGGUGUCUUUAAUUAUAUUGAUUUAAUUAAAAUAAAUAAUAAAAAUAGGAAGCUACGGAGCCAAAAUUUAAAAAUUGGGUAGAAGCUAGUAAAUUUCAAAGGUAAGAAACCAAAACUAACUUAGAUAAAUCAAACUAAUCAGAUCGAUCAAAUUGCUAAAUUGUACAAAAUGUUCAUGAAAAUAGGUGCUCAAACCAACAAACCAAACCAAAACCAAAAACAAACAAUAAUAAAGGACAGUUAUUAUUACUAGUGUUUAAAUCUCCGAUCCGAUGUGACUUCUCUAUUUUGCUGAUCCUGGCUUUGAUACCAAAUAUAACAACCCGGCCCGUUAGCAAUUAUAACUCGUUGGGCCCAACCACCGACCCAAAAUGCUUAAUCUCAAUUAUUAUUACUAGUGUGUAAGUCUCUUUGAACCCAAUGACAACUUCAUUUUCAUUCGAUAUGGGACUAUUGGGGUGUCACAAUUUCAUCCAGAUUAAUUCAAUUCAUUCUACUGAAACUAUAUAGUUCAAAUUUAUUUUGAGCUAGAUUUAAAUUAUAAAAUUAAAAUUUAUUGUAAUCAUAAAAUUUUAAUUGUAUUGUAUAGUAUAAAUUUGUUCCAUUAAGAUUUAUUUAAUUUAUCACUAAAACUCGACUGUCCUUACUUAUUUUAGUCUAUUAAAACUCUGUGGUCGAGAUUUAUUAUAGACUUAAAAUUUAAAUUGUACAGUCUAAAUUUAUUCCAAACUCAAGUUAAAUUGUAUUAAAUAAUUCAGAUUUAUGUGAUUUAUUCCGUUAAAACUCUAUAAUUCAUAUUUACUCUAAACAUAAAAAUUUAAGGAAAAGAUGUAUGGAGACCCCCUGAAAUUUUAUUCCAUUGCAUGGAGCCCCUUAAUUUUUUAUUUUUUUUAAAGUUAAGUAAUUUCAAUUAAAAAAUUAGAGAUUUAUCUAAUAAUUAAUGGUUAAUAUAUAAUAAAGUUAUUAAAUUUGAUAAAAUUUUUAAACUUAACUCAGGAUAAAACUCAAUUAAAAAAAUUGGAAUUUUCUCUAAAAAAAAAAAAAAAGAAGUUGAGGGGUUCUUUAUCCGAAAAAAAAAAGAAGAAUAUAUUUCAAAGUAAUCUAUAGUUGACUUCGUCUCUACAUACUUUAUGGUCAAAAUUUAUUUUAUCCUAAUUUAAAUAUAUUUGGCUAAUUUACAGAAAGCUUUCUUAUAAAUAACUGUUUUUUUUUUUUUUCUUCCGAACUUUUAAAAUUCUAUAUUUUACCCGCUCAACAUUUCAAAUUGUUGCAUUUAGCCCCUUUCCGUCAAGUUUCAUCACUAUUCGGUUCAUUUCUUAUAAUGUACACCGAAAAUAUCCUUCAAAAUAACAGAAAUAUAUUAAAAAAUUAUAUUUUCUUUAUACAUGAGUAAUAAAAAUUUGAUCAUUUCGCCCUUGCCAUUAAUGUUGUAUCAACCUGAAAAAAUUUUCGAAAUUUUAAGAAGGCAAAAGGCUAAAUUACAGAAAACCCUCCUGUCAAAAUCUGUUUUUUUACUUUCCCCCCUGUUAUUUAAAAACCUAUACUUUGCCCCCUUAUAAAAUAAAAAAUGUGCACUUCACCCCCUACCGUUAGUGAUCUGUUAGGGUUCCGUUGUAAAAUAUUUUUUUAUGCCAAAAAUACCCCUUCGUCUUCUUCCAUGUUGCUUCGACAUAUAUUGAGCAUGGGCAGCGCGCAGAUGGCCUCCAGGACGGCGCCCUCACUGGCCUCGCCCUCCUCCACGAGCUCGACCUCAGCAACAACCGCUUCGUCGGCGCCUUCCCAGGCGUCAUCCUCGACCUCCCCGCCCUCCGCUACCUCGACCUCCGCUUCAACGAGUUCGAGGGCCCCAUCCCCGCCGCCCUCUUCAACCGCCCCCUCGACGCCAUCUUCCUCAACUCCAACCGCCUCCGCCGCCCCAUCCCUGCCAACCUCGGCGACUCCUCGGCCUCCGUCGUCGUCCUCGCCCACAACCAACUCGGCGGCUGCAUCCCGCCCUCCAUUGGCUGCAUGGCCGACACCCUCAACGAGAUCGUCCUUCUCGACGACGGCCUCGCCGCCUGCGUCCCGCCCGAGGUUGACCUCCUCCGCCACCUCACCGUCUUCGACGUUAGCUUCAACCUCCUCCGGGGGCCCCUCCCGUCCUCCCUCUCCGGCGCCGCCGACCUCCAGCAGCUCGACGUCGCGCACAAACGCCUUACGGGCGCAGUCCCGGAGGCCGUCUGCGCGCUGCCCUCUUCCCUGUUGCUACGCCCUCUAUCGAGUUCGCGGAUGAGGAGGAUGAGUGAGAAGACGAAAAUGGCGAAGGGCAAAAUGGUCAUUUUGUCACAUUGUACCCCCCUCUGCACAUUUUUUAUUUUACAAGGGGACAAAGUGUAGGUUUUUAAAUAACAGGGGAGGAAAGUGAAAAAGCGGGUUUUGACAGAGAAAUUUUUUGUAAUUUAGCCAAGACAAAAUGUAGAUUUUUGAAAGUCAGGAAGAAAAAGUAAAAAAAAGAAAAAUAUUUGUAGGAAGAUUUUCUAUAAUUUAGCCUAUUUUAUUUACUCAAAAUUUAUUUGAUUUAUUCUACUAAACCUUUUAUGUUCCAGAUUAAUUCUAUUACAAUUUAUUUUUAUUACAGGUUUGCUCUAAUCCGAAAAGGAAAUAUUUCAAAUACCACCCAUGUGGUCUCGCAUUUUCUCACUUUAGUACAUUAUAGUUUAAAGUAUAUCACUUUUGUACUCUGUAGUUUUAUUUUUCUCUCUUUUUUAUUCUUUUCACUAAUUUUUUCGUUAAACCAGUGACAAAGGUAAAAGUAAAAGAUACUAAAAUGAAUAUUCGAUAAAUUAUAGGUGGGGUAUCUGAAGUUUUUGUAUAUGAUUUAGCGAUAAGUUAAUAGAGGGGCUGAUAAAAAAAGAAAAAUGAAACCACAAGGUACUGAAUUAAUACACUUUAAACCACAGGAUAGUAAAGUAAGAAAGUGUGAAAACACAGGGUGGUAUUUGAAGUUUACCCAUCAGAAAAUUUAAAUCAUCCUCUACGGUAUACAUAACUUAAAUUUUAAGUCGCAAUCUAUGAUCUCAUUAAUUUUAAAAAUCAAUUUUUACUAUUAAAGUUUGAUAUAAUUUAGCCCGUGCAAUUUUAAUUAUACUAAUUAUAGAAUUUAAAUUAUACCGUAUAUUGAUAUAUCAAAUCAAAUAUUGUCAUUUUGUUAUUGUCAUUACAAUUCGAAGUAAUUUGAUUAGUGCGUUGAAUAGACAAAAACAAAAUUAUAAAACUAUCUCAAACUCUAAAAUCAAUUUAUUUUGUAUUGUAUUCCUAGAUUUUUAAACCAAACUAAUUAUGUUAUUUAAAAUAAAUUUAGUGUAACACCAAGAUUUCUUGUUUGCCAACAUUUAACAUCUUCACAAAUCAAAUAUGCCAAAUUUAAAUUUAAAUUAUACUCUAACAUUUUUUAUUUGUUUCAAUUUAAGAUCUAUCAUUAAAAUACCUUUAAUUUUAAUAAAAAAAAAAGUAUUACAUAAACACCAACCAGUAUUUGCGGUGCUACGUCGACGUCAAACCUUACCACGCGGCGAUGUCUAUUAAAAUUUACAAAUUUUUAAUAAUAAAAAUUCAGCUAAAAAUGGACAGUAAAAACUUGUGGCUAAAGAUGAAAAAUUGGAUGUUAAGGUUGGGAACCAACGGUGCAGUUUAACCCAUUUGCAAAUAGGCAAACAAUCAAUGAACCCCAAAUGGUGCCAAAUAGUGAUAGUGAUAGUGAUAGUGAUAGUGAUGGUCUAAUUGCAUCUAGGCAUUUGUGUCCAACAUAAAAAAGAAAAGAAAAUUAUUAUCUCAACAGUUGCAUAAAUUUUGAGUAGCACCUAGUUAAGAAUACUUUUAGAAGCACUAAUGUGCUUCUAAGUUUUUAAUAGCACUAAGUCAUUAGUGCUAUUAAGUUUUCAGCCUUUGGGUGAAGAGAUGUACGAUUAAUAUGAUAGUGAUCUUCUAGGAUUGAGUGGGUGGUUGGUUGAAUAGUAUGAUCUAACGGGUGAAAAUGAUUAAAGAUGUUGAUUUAACUGUAGAGAACUUGAUAGCACCAACUGCUGGGUGCUAUCGAUAACAUUUCAGCCAGACUCUCUCUCUAUAUAUAUUAUAAUAAAUAACUAAAAAAAGUAAUUUUUACUGGUUCUAAAUUUAGUUUAAUGUAAACUUGGUCGGUGAAAAAAAUAGGCGGACAUGUAACCUUGUAAAAAAGAAUGCCAAACAUAAAGAUACAUGACAAAUCUACUUUCUCCAUCAAAUCCCUCCCUCCACUCCACCCAAACCAAGUGUCCUCUAUCCUCUCUACACUCUACACUACACAUUCAAACGCCAAAUUUUUUUUUUAAAAAUUAAUAUUACAUAAAAAUUAAUAAAAAUAAUAAAAAGAUUCUUGGGCUCCAAACAAUUUAUCUUUUCAAAAAAAAAAAAACAAAAAACAAAAAUAAAACCGUCCCCGGGUUUCCCCCCCACGCACACGCGCUCCGCUCCGAUGGCCGCGCUCUCCUGCGCCUGCGGCGGCGCGCGGCCGCCGCUCCCUCUCCCUAGCCGUCCGUACGCCGCGGUGCGGCGGUCGCCGCCGCCGGCGAGCGUGCCGUGGGCCGGCCGUCGCCAGCGCGCGGCGGCGAGAGCGCCGGCGGGCGGCGGCGCGGAUGAGCGGACUCCGAGGAGGGGGUGGGCGGCGGCGGCGUGCUCGGCGUCGUCGCCGUUCCCGAGCCUCGGGAGGGUCGGGUGGCACCGCCGGGAGGGGAACGCCUCGCUCCUCUCCUUCGGCGGCGGAGGGCGCGCGGCGGCGGCGGCGGCGGCGGCGGCGGGGGAGGACGCGGCGGCGCAGGCGCUCUCGGGGCUGCUCCCCUUCGUCGUCGCCGCCACCGCCGUCGCCGCCCUCGCGAACCCCGCCACGUUCUCCUGGUACUGCUGCUGCUUCUGGGUCUUUCUAGAAGAAUCCUAUCUUUUUUAAUUGUUUCUAAUCUCCUUUUGGGAAUAUAUUAUUUAUUGCCUAUGUUUUUAGUCAUCUUCAGUAUACAGCGUUUGUCACCUAUAAAAGAUUUUGAGACUCAAAACUAGAAGCUCUCAUUUAAUUAAUGCUUUGAAUAUGUGGAGGAAGCGCUUUUCAAACUAUGCCUUGUAGAAGACUUAGUUUCUGGUAAUGCAUAGGCUAAAAGAAUUGCUUUUGAUACUUUGGAAGACUCCAAAUAAACAUUUAAAAGUGCUUUCAAUCUUUUCUCCUUCAAUACUAUAAAAUUGUGCUGCUAACAUUAACUGAAGAAGCAUGUAACCACAUGGGUGACACUACACUUUUAUAGCACUGAAGGAGGGAAAAUUGGAAACACUUUUAAUUUUUUUUGGCCUACAAAACACAAAAGCGGUGCUUUUAGCCACUGCAUCACCAAUAUAGACUUAAAUCAGAAUUUUCAGUAGCAAGGACAUGUUUGUAGAGCAUUUAGCUCUGAGAAAAAUCUGGAGCUUGUGAUGUACAGCUGAGUAUAUUGGGUUGGUGCUUUACUGCUUAGACAACACUCCUAGACUAAGUGGAGUUUUUUGUAUUACUAUUUACUAAUUGGGAAUUAAGGAUUGUCGGUAUUGUAAGUAGAGAUCAAAGCUAGGAGUGAAGAAGUGAAAUUUUUGGUCAACAAAGUUGAGAAAUUUAUGGAAAAAAAAACAAGGGUUUGUGAUUGCAUGGUAAGAUAUUUGGCAAGGCCAAAGAGUGUAUAGGGAGUUGAGUUGAAUCAGUAAUGUGGUUCAUGAACAAAAUUUUUGAAAUAUCUUAUCCUGUGUGAUGGAAGUUACUUAAUCAGAUUUGUAAGUUGUAAGUUGAGUUUUGGGCGUUUCCACCAAGAAAAUGAGGUGAAAACGACUGUAGUUAGUUAUGUGGAGAGAUCACAACUAGGAUCAAUCGAGUCAACUACCGAUCAAAAUCGAAUAAUUUUAGGAGAUAAUAGUGGUUUGUGACUUGAGAGGUGGAGAUUAGAAAAUGCAGAGAUUCUUUUGGAUGUUGAAUCAGGAGUAGGUGCCGGAAGAAGUAUAAUAUAACUGAUGCUUUUUUGGCUACUGAUAGAUAUCAUGGAACCAGCUUGUUCUGUACAAAGAGAUCAUUACACGGAGUUCGGCUUUGAAAUCACACACAUUGUUUUGAUCCGGGACUUGAUAUUGAUUGCUUAAGACUAUAUAUCAUGGAAUAUUACAAAAGUGUGGGUAAGUGGAGUCUGCGAGAUUAGUAGUUUUAGAUUAGGUUAAGUUUUAUGGGUAGAGAAACCAUAGAUCAAGUUUGGACCUACGCAGUUUAAGUUUUAUGAGUAGAGAAAUCAUAGACUGAGUUCGAAGUUACAUAGAACAUCUCUUCAUUCAUGUAACCAUAAUUUGAUUGUGGUUACAUGCUGAAUUCUUUUACUAGAACCGGAGGUAACUAAAAUGCUAUUGUUCAUGUAGAAAAACCUGACUUAUGAUAUGUUCUCCAGAUAAUUUGUGUUCUUUGAUGGACUUGAACAAAAGAAAUUUGUAUCUGAAGUCUAGGAAGUUCAGGAAAUAAUGUUGAACCAAGUGUCUGGUAUCUUGAAAGAGUGGUGAAUUAAGAUUCGUAUGGAAUCCGUGUAACAUUAUUAGACACCUUAAUGAUAUUCAAAUGUUUUCUGUCUGUUUGAUUGGAAAGUCAAUUAUUCGGAGGUCUUUGUGCUUAUGCACAAAGUAUAUCUGCUUGGAAAUGACCAAAGGAAAGCUUGAAGUAGUUUUAAAAUUCUUGUUCCUAUGUCCUUAGCUAUCGAACCCAUAAAAUUUAUUGUUUGCAAGGUAAACAUCAAGGCAUCAUUCUAUACAUGAAUGUGUAAUAUUGUCCCCCCCCCCCCUUGUUUAUAGUUUUAUUAUUGGAAUUACACCGAGUCUUUUACAUUGAAUCAAUGCCUUGACUUGCGAAACUACUCUUUUGUACUUCUUGCUAGGGUUUCAAAAGAGUAUUAUGCCCCUGCCCUGGGAGGAAUCAUGCUUUCUAUAGGAAUCAAACUAUCUGUUGAUGAUUUUGCCCUUGCUUUCAAGAGGUUCUUCCUUCUACUUUGAUUUAAAUAAUUGUUAAUAAAUCUUGGCUAAACUACAAUUUAUUAGUUUAUGGCUAUUUGUGGUGCAGACCUUUGCCGCUCUCUGUUGGGUUUCUCGCACAAUACAUGCUUAAGCCACUUUUGGGCUUUCUGAUAGCAAAAGCUUUUAGGAUUCCGCCUACGUUCUAUGCUGGUUUCGUUCUUACCUGUUGUGUUGCGGGUGCACAGCUCUCAAGCUAUGCUAGUUUCUUGAGCAAAGGGGACGUGGCCUUGAGUAUUUUAUUAACCAGCUGCUCAACGAUAUCUUCGGUCAUUGUUACACCUCUACUUACGGGGCUUCUAAUUGGCUCUGUGGUUCCGGUUGAUGGAGUUGCUAUGUCCAAGUCAAUUUUGCAGGUAAAUUGGGUACUUCUUGAUUACGCGAACUAAAGCUAUUACUUAUCCAUCUUUUUUGUUGUUUAAGCAUUACAGUUCUUCAAUUAUAGGCGCUGAAAUGUGUUAACGUUUCUUUAUACUCCUUAUUGUCUUGUGAUAGCUGUCCGUGCAUUUUACCCUGUUUAAACCUUAAUCAGGAAAAUUUAGUGACAAUUUGAAAUUUAAUCUGCUUUAUUCUUCGACAUGGCUUGCCGCUUGGUGACAAAUUGAACAUGGACUCAUCACCAAGGUAGAUGUUCAACCUUCUUUGCCGUGAAUAGGAAAGCAGAUUUAGAGCAUUCCCUCUCUUGUUCGGAUUUUAUUUUUUCUGCUAAACACCAUGAUAAGACUGAAAUUAUUUGACAGAAUAUACUCUGACACAAUUUGACUUUGAUUCUGGAAUACUAUCUCCUUUUUAUCCUCUCCAGGUCGCCAGUUCACUCAAAAUCUUUUUACAAUUUCAAAGCACCUAAACAAAAUGUGGUAUUGCUAAUAGCUUGUAACAAACUUUCUCCACCGUCUGAAAAUUUUGCUCAUUUUACAUUGUAAAUAAGUAAUAAACAAUAAUCUAUGAUGAGCUAAAGACUUUACUAGGCAACAAACUUCAUAUAUAUUUGUUAAAUUUGUUGUGUCAGAUUAUCAUUAAUUUUAUUUAGUAAUUAUAACUGUUCUGAUCAGAUAAUAGCUAAAUCUAAACUAUUAUGAAUAUUUUUACUUGUUAUUGUAUGAUAAAUUUUACGAAAGUUUGAUUUCUGAAUUGUACUUUUCAUGGCUUUAUAGGUAGUUCUAGUUCCAAUAUCGCUGGGGCUUCUCCUCAACACUUACGCAAAAGCUGUGGUGAAUGUCGUGCAGCCCAUAAUGCCGUUUGUUGCUAUGUUUUGCACUUCGCUGUGCAUCGGAAGCCCUCUUGCAAUUAACCGUAGUAAAAUCCUUUCUUCGGAGGGCUUCCUACUGCUCGUCCCCAUAUUGACUUUCCACAUUGUCGCUUUCAUGUUGGGUUACUGGUUUUCCAAGUUGCCAUUCUUGAGGUAAUUCUCUUUUCUUUAGUUAUCUACUAAUCAAGCUAGAAAGUGUUACUAUUUUCUCAUGAAUAUUUAAAAUUUUUCGUAUUCUGCAACUAUGAUCAUAAAAGCGUAAUGGAACUUGAAACAGCGAAACUACAAACGUAAAAGUCUUUAUGAACAUCCGAGGAGAUAUCAUGUGCUUAUUUGCCCUUUAUUUGAAAAGUGUUUCAUUUUCCUGUUGAUAACUGCAUAUUAUUCUAUGUCAGCAUACUUUUUCUCCAUUACAAUGGCCAUAUUAAUGUAAUGUUCUCAACUAACUAGUUGUUCUCCACUAGUUCCUUUGUUCAUUUAUUUUCUUUGCUGCUAAUUUGCUAUUCAGGAUCGCAUCCCUUCACUCCAACAUAAAAUUCAUAGUGUUCGCGACAUUUUCUAUUUCUGGCGAAACAUUUUCUUGUUAACAUUAACAAAUGAAUUGUUUGUGUGUCGUGGCUAAUCUUUUCAUGUUUUCUUCUUUCUUUUUUGCCCUUCUCAGGCAAGAUGAGCCGGUGUGUCGGACCAUUUCGCUCUGCACGGGGAUGCAGAGCUCGACCCUAGCAGGCCUCCUUGCCACACAGUUCCUCGGCAGCAGCCACGCCGUACCCGCUGCCUGCUCUGUCGUCGUCAUGGCCAUAAUGGGUUUAUGCCUCGCCUCUUUCUGGGGCAGUGGUUCGCGCAUCAGAGACUUUCCAGUUCUCUCAUUUCGUCAAACUUAAAGACGGCCUUAUAACAUGCUAUAGAUAUUCUACAGUAGAAGUGGGUGGAAAAAAAUAUGUUGUAAGACCUGCUCUCACUGUACAGCAGAAGCUGGGGGUGUUAGUAGGAUAUUGAAGUCGAUAUCGUCACAGUUUUGAAUUCGAGAGAGAAGAGCCAUGUAGGUUCAGCAUUCGCACCUCGACAAGGUACGUGUUCUGUAUAUACUUGUUAUUGUUUAGGUUAAAAUAAAAGAGGUGCUUUACAUCUAGCGCGAGUUCCUUCCAUAUUCUUUGAAUACCUGUCAUUCUUAGUCUACUUCAGCAAAGUAUAUGCUAAACUUAGCAAGUUAGUCUGUGUUCUUUUGGUCUGAUAUACUCAAGAGCCCAGCUAAGAGAGUCGAACCUAAGAAAAGGCUAAGCGGUUUUUCGGUUGCAUGUAGUUGCAUUUGCACUAUUUCCCUAUGUAUGAAGAUCUAGAUUUGGCGCUUGCUUCAGUGUACUUGAAUCCAAUUGGGGCUGCACGAGGAGGCUCGAUUGCAAAUAAUUUGGAACUGCAUCUAAAUUGGUCACAGAUCCAACUAUUGCAGGUAGAGAGUAGUGUUGUACGUGACACAAGUUUAAUUUAGAUACUAAGCGCGAUUAGUAUGCAACACGAGUAAUAUUACGUUUGCUAAAUGCGACUAGCACGUGACCACUAGGCCAGCUAGAAAUUAGGGGGCGUAAACUUGUAAUGAUUCGAUCCACUAACAAUAAUAAACUCAUUGGAUUCAAACCACCAGCCCAAAAUGCUUAAACCUAAUUAUUAUUAUUAGAUGUGAGGCUAUUCGGGCGUUACAAACUCCCUCUAUUUAAAUCCUGACGUUCUCAUCAGGUCUAAAUCAGAUCACAGAUGCAAAUCAGAAUUAUCAGGCUAUGAGAUUCUAGAGAUGGCACCUACAAAAUCUGUUGGUGUAACACUUUGCCACUUAGCUCUUACACUUUCGACUAGUAUUCGACUCUGAUAUCAAUUAUAACGACCCGACCCGCUAACAAUAAUAACUUGUUGGGCCCAUACUACCGGCCAAAAUACUUAAGUCCAGUUAUUAUUAUUAGCGUGUAGGCUUCAUAUAUUUUAAUGAGAAUUAUUUUUUCAUCCGAUAUGGGACUGUUGGGGCGUUACAUAACUAAUCCCCGAUAUCCUAUUAAUAGACAAGCUCUUUUCUGAGGGAAUAUUUUCUCAGAAAGAAGAAAAUGUAAGUGGCAUUAAGGACUUUUCGAUUUUGCAACAGCAGUUGUAGAGCGUUUAGGAUGAAACUCUGCUAGAAGUUAUUCUCCAAAAUAUAGCAUCAUGAUUAGAAGAUAAAAUAUGGCGGAAUUUAUUAUCAUAGGAUGGAAAAAGCUAGAACUCUCCAAAAAUAGAUGAAUUUUGAAUCAGUCACAUUACAGUAAAAAUAUAAAGAAUUCGGGAAGAAAAUAACUAGCACAAAAAUCGAAUGCUGAAAUCUAUGAGAAAAUAAUGAAAAAAAUUCUAGAAAUUUAAAAACUAUCAAGAUACCUCCAAACAACUCUACUCUAUGAAGUAAGAUGAGGAGUACGUCUCCCCUACUUUCGAAAGUACAUAAGCCUUCGUGCUUAUAAGUUAUUUUCGAUAAUGGAAUAGCCAAUUCGACGACAGCUUCAUUAGGCAUGAUCUACGAUUUUAGAACUAUUUGAUAACCAAAUUUCAUAAUUUUUUGACAUCAUUUACUAAAUGAUCAAAGGAUCUCAAAAAUAACUAUUAUAAUGGCUGAUGUGGCACAUUUGCAAGUUCCAUGGUGUAGAACAAUUGAAAUUAUGUGAAACUUUAAUAAAAAUUUCUAUUUAAUAUCAAGAGCGAGAUGGAUAUUUUUGAUUUAAAAUUUAAGUCUUUUAUCACCAUUUUUUAUAAAAUUUUUAAUUCCGACCGUUCAUUUUGAGGCCACUCGUUCACUAGACAAAUAAAGUCAAAAGCUCAUAAAAAUUAGGUUUCUAGAGAGUUUCUACACUGUAGAUCAUCUCUAAUGGAAUCAGAUGUCCUAUAAUCGAAAACAACUUACAAAUACGGAUGCCUCGGUACUUUCGAAAGCAUCGGAGCCUAGCUCAUAAGAUAGUCUUAUUAGUUCACUAAUAGUGGUAUACACUAGAGAAAAACAAAACUAUGACAAAAAGUGAAACUGUUAGUGUAGAUUGUAAUAAUGAAUGUGACAAAAUAACUUAAAGAAUAAAAUUAAAAUUAAUUGAAUAGUUAUGUCUCUUUGGUACAUUAGUUAUUCUUAUGAAAAAGAUAUCUUUUCAUCUAACGCAAAGAUAUGUAUCUCGUUACGAAGAGCACGCUUCGUCACAAAGAGAUAAACCCUUUGUGAAAGAAUGUCUUUUCAUUUGUGAAGAGAUAUGUCUUUUCAUUAUUCGUGGAAGAAUGUGUCCUUUUGUGAAAAAUAUAACUUUAAAAAUUAUAUAUCUUCAUCGUAACCAUUUAUCUCCUAAAAAUAGGGGGUGUUUGCAGGCUUCAAGGGCGAUAUAAUUAAUUAUUUCUUCUUCCUAAUUUUCAUACUGAUUCUUAAGAGAGAAGUUUUUGAGAAGAAGUCCUCAAAAAUGCUGUUAGCAAUCUUUCAGCGAUUUUGAUGUAUCCUGGAGGUGAUUUGCUGGCAACUCGACAGCAUACAUUCAAGUGGGGGCAGAUAUCACUUUAAAGAAAGUGAACUUACAUACCUUGAGACCAUAAUUUAUUUGAUUUCCAUUCAUAUUCCCUAACAAUUUUAAGGUGAUAUUUUAAUGGGGACAAACACUAAGAUGACUUUCAAUAUGAUAAAUCAAGACUAUAUGAAACUGAACUAAUUCAAUGGGACCAACUUCACUAGAUUGAAAGAUAAGAUGGUGUUCUUACUUACUGCAUUGAAGACAACCUAUAUCCUCGUCCCCAAUUUGCCAAAUUUUCUACAGUUGCCACUAUAGAUACGAGUGAAGUGAAGGCGGGCGGCACGUAAGAAACGCAAAGAGGAUGAACUAUCAUGCAAAGGACAUAUUCUCAAUAUUUUUUCAGAUAAUUUAUAUGACUUAUUUGUAUUGUUCCAAUCACCAAGAGAUAUAUGGAAUCUCCAAAAGCAAGAUAUAAUAUUGAGAAGCAAGGCACAAAUAAGUUUUUAAUUAUGAAGUAUUUUGAAUUUAUUACGGUAGAAAACUUAUAUGUAAUGCAACAAAUACAUGAGUUAUAAAUUUUAGUUUCUAAGCUUAAAGAGUUAAAGAUUUCUCUUCUAGAAUCUUUUCAAAUGGGGGCUAUUAUUGAAAAAUUGCCUCGUAAUUAGAAUGAUUAUAGAAAGAAACUUUUACACACUACAGAAGAUUUUACUUUAGAGCAAAUUCAAAAACACUUGAGAAUUGAGGAGGAAACUCAGAACUGCUACCAGAAAAAUUAUGUUCAACAUAACUUUAAAGUGAAUCAAGUAGAUGAAAAUACGAAUCAAAAGUUUUUUAUAAAAAAAAGAGAAAAGAGAAAAUUUUCUGAAUCAAAUAACUCCAAUAAAAUAAAAAAAGAUAGGAUUUAUUAUCACUGUGGGAAAAAGGAUCAUUAUAAAAGAGAGUGUAGAUACAUAAAGAAAUUUAAGAAGGAAAACCCUAAUAAGGCCGACACGAUUGAACAACAAACUAUCAAAUUUAUUGCAAUGAUUUUUGACAUGCAUAUAAGCAUGGUUACCGAACUUCACAUGGUAGCAACAAAUAAGUCGCUGGAUUGGUGGUAUGAUUUAGGUGCUACUAUUCAUGUCUGCAACAACAAAUCUCAAUUUAAAGUUUAUGAAAAGGCAACAGAUAGUCAAGAAAUGUUGAUGGGAAAUUAUAGUGCCUCAAAAGUUCUAGAAAAGGCCAGCGUUGAGCUUUUCUUCACUUCUGAAAAGAAACUCUUACUUAUCAAUGUAUGUCAUGUCUUCGUGAUAGGCACGGUUUGAUUCGACUACAUUGCCAUCUUUGUGAUAGGUAUUGCUUGAACCAUUCGCCAUCUUCGUGAUAGGCACGGUUCGACUCGAUCAAUUCGCCGUCUUCGUGAUAGACACUAUUCGAACCAUAUGCCAUCUUCGUGAUAGGCACGGUUCGAUUCAAUCGCAUUGUCAUUUUCGUGAUAGGCAUAUAUUUGAUCAAAUUGUCAUCUUCGUGAUAGGUGUAACUCAAAAAUCAAACCUCAUGUUUGGGACGGAUUGUCUAAGCGAUAGUGUAAGACAAAACGGUUUAUAAAUUUGGCCCACACCGAACCAUAUUAAUUCAAAUCAAACCCGACAUUAAAAAAAAAAAAAAAAGGAAAAAGAACGGUUUGGGAUUAAUUACUUUAAUUGAGCCCAAUCUAUAAUUUACUUAUGGGCUUAAUAAACAAAAUUUCAUAUGCAGUCCACCAAUAAAACUAAAUCCAAUUCAGCCCAAAACCUGAAUCCAGCCCAUAUGCAAGUGCACGGGCCCUGAAUCCAGCCCGUAUGCAAAUGCAGGCCCAGUCUACUCACGGGCCCUGAAUCCAAUCCGUAUCAUAGUUAGUUAAUUUGGAUUCGGCCAAAAUUCGAUACUUAUAAUUCGGAUAAAAUUCGUCUUCUAAUUUUUAAAUUCGUUGAAAAAUACGGCUAAAAAACGGAUUCAUCAAUUAUUCGGAUACGUGAUUUAUAUGGAUAUUAUACGUUUACCAAUUAAAAAUUCGGGAUAAAAAAUUCGGCUAUUAAAUUAAAUUUUUUUUCUCUAGAUUUAUGCUAUUAGCAUAAAUAUUCAUAUCUUUUAAAAAUAUAAGAAUAAAUAGCUACAAAAUUAAGCUAAUUAAGUAAAAUUUUUUUUUUNUUUUUUUUUUUUUUUUUUUUUUUUUUCUGUAUUUUACUGUUUUGGGCCAGCCGGCCCGCGAGUGCAUGCGGGAGCGUGUGGGAGCGCAGGCAGGCGCGGGCAGGCGCGGGCGGUGCGGGUGCGACCCGUUUUUUUUGGCCGAAUAAUUCGGCUCGCCGUAUAAUACGCGAUCACGUAUUUUUAGUCAAAAAAUCCCCUUUUUUUCCGAAUUUUUGGAAAAAAUACGAAUUCGGCCGUUUAAUUCGUUUUUGCAAAAAUUCACGAAUAAUUCGCGAAUUAACUAACAUAGAUUCGUAUACAAUACAGCUCCGGUCUACUCACAGGCUAUGGCAGUCAAAACACUUCAGAUACCUCUAAUGACUUCAACUAUCUGCUAAGCAACUCCAAUUAUAUAAACAAGGCUAAUCAGAAAACUAAACUAGGCAACUUAGUUGACUCCAUGCUCCCGCAUCAGGGUACGUAUUUGCAUGACUUAGUUUGUUCCCUGCCCCUGUAACACUGACGUAACAUCGCAACAUGAACUUCUCUAGAACAGUAUGUGACAACAAUCUAUUGAUCAUGUUUCUCAUUACAAGAAAAAAAAAAGAAAAAAAAGAAGUGAUUGAUCCGAUUACACACAUACAAUAACAACAAUAGAAAUCUUAAAUCUCUUUUUAAUUUAUUAUUAACUGUUUGUUUUCUCCGUAAAACAUGUAUAUUCUUGUUUAUCAAACAGCUACUCAUGCUAUAGUUAGCAUGAAUCAGGAAGCACACUCACUCGCCUUUCCAUGAAGAAAGAGGAGGGGUCUCCGAAUCCCUCCAUGUUUUCCAAAUGCUAGGAUACCGAUCACCCUCGACAAGAUUAGCCAAGGCAUAGGAUUCGAGCUCCGCCAUCUCCUCUAGAGUGAGCUUAAUCGACAGAGCUUUGAUAUUCUGGUUGAAGUUCUCGAUCUUGGUGGUGCCCGGUAUAGGGCAUACGUCGCUCCCCUGAUGGUGAACCCAGGCGAGCGCCAGCUGCGACGGGGUGCAUCCUUUCCUUGUAGCCAUUGCAUUGACACGCUCGAAUAUGACUUUAUUCUUCUCGACAUUUUCAGGAUGAAAUCUAGGCAUUCCCUGUAAGAAGCAAGUUAGUCUACGGCUUAUUCAUAACGUACACUCGAGUAUAUAAUUUUAGAAGCAAAGUUCCAAACUACACCACAAGAUGGCAUAUGUCACUAGUUUCAAUUAAAGUUCAUGAUGAGUUAUUGAAUUUGUAGAUGGAGAAAAGUUAUUGCAUGGGUCAGGUGUACAAACCCCGAGCAUCUCGCUUACGUUAGUUUGCGUCUAAGUUAUUGCUACAAGGAUCAACUAGUCUUAAUUAGAUUAGAUCAGCAACAAUUCCAACCAAUUGGGAUAGAUAUAUAUAUAUAUAUAUUUGUUGGGCUGAUUUACUAUAGCUGUGUCAGCCCCUAAAUCUCACUACAAUUUCAGAAUAGUUCUGGAUCUAACUAUAAUCAGAAUGUAAUUUUCUCAUCACAGCUCUGAUUUUGGUGUGUAAGGUGCCAAAGGCGCGGAUUGGCAUGUCGAGUUUGAUUAUUGUGGUCCAGUGAACAACAGAAGCCUCUAAGAAUAAUAAAAUCAGAAGAAAGAGUAUUUUCUAAAAAUAUUUAUGAGAAUUGUAUUGUUGCUGCUCUUUCUAGGAUACGAUAAGUGACCCGGACACAGUACAAGAACCAUAAUCGUGAGCAAUCUAUAGUGAGAUUAGUUGUUCGUGUUGUUGACUAAGAUAUGCAAUCCCGUUAAUACUGUGAUACUUGACUUUAUGUUGAGCAUGCUUUGCUAUCGUCUAUACCACCUAAAUAAAUUUCUCGAGACAGAAUAUCUGUCUAGAUUUUCUUGAGCAGAAUGCAUGAGUAUGGUAAUCCCACUGAUCACACUUUGCUACCUGAUGGUGGACGCUUCUGAAAAUCUUCUAGCUUAUGUUUGAAAUCGACCAGACAAAGGCACAGACAAGUCCAGUAAAUCUAAAGAAUAAAAGAACUCCGCUCAGUUUUAGGCAAUAUUAGAUGUCUCCUGAAGUUCUGAUACGAUAAAUGCCAUCACUACAUUAUACGAUAUCUUGCUAUGAAUGUAUAAUUCAGUUUGACAUGCCGUAUUCCCAUUCCGUUGUGAUUACUACUCUUUCUGUAGCCGUACUUUGUUUCCUGCAGCUGUUAUAUAAAAUUUCCAAUUCUUUACAGCUACUUUGUUUCAGUUUAGUGUGCACCUAUUGAUUAGUCCUCAUGAAUACUCAUACCUAUUAUUACAUCAUUAUAGAUAUAUAAUGGAUAGUUGCAUAAAUAGUAUGUACUUUUUGACUUGAAAGUUUGAAAUUUGCCAUUGGAUAUGGCAAUGCAACUUGAAAAUUAAUUAAGUUUAAGUAGGUUAACUUCACUUAGCAAAUUAGAAGUAUAUUCAUACAGCUUUUGUAUUUUGUACGCCAUACACGUAUCAGGAACUAGCCUUCUGUGCAAGAGGCAGAUCUGUGUCAACCCCUGAGUGUGCUUCUAGGUUGUUGGACUUGACAACAUCAGUCACUACUUAACAGACAUGUUUUAAUGCACGCUUGUCAAUAUUCGCAGAAAUCAAUGGAGUACGCAGCAUUUUUCACACAUAGAAAUAUAUAAGAUAUAAGAAAUAUGAUCCAAUUUCAGUAAGAAAUAUGCACCUUUCGAGCGUCUUGCUCUGAUAGAUUUUCAACCAUAUUCGACCCACCAGAAAGAAAGCCUCUACCGAGUGGACUGUAUGCAACUAUUCCAAUUCCGAGUUCUCUGAAGAUAAGGUAAGAAAUGAUACUCAGCGUAUUCUUAUUUUUAUGUAUGAAUAGAAAAACUAGCGAAUAAGACUCACCGACAAGUAGGAAUUAUUUCUUCUUCCGCAUCUCUUGUCCAUAGAGACCACUCUAGUUGCACAGCAGUUAUCGGAUGAACUGCAUGCGCCCUUCGGAUUGUCGAAGCCGAUGCCUCAGAUAAUCCGACAUAUUUUAUUUUUCCUUCUUCAACUAGCUUUUUGAGUUCUCCCAUCUGGUAAUAGAGAUAAAGUCACUUUUAGGCGAUUUCAAACAGAAGUCGUGACGCCUAGAAAAAUUAAUAAACGACCAAGAUUUAUGACACAAUGCACAACCAUAUUGUAGGGGGGAUGAUGAAGAUCUUACAAAUUGAUCAAAAAGUCUAAAAAGUGAAUGAUCACAAUGAACUUAAAUGUCUUGUAGAUAUAACCCCCUUUUUCUUUCUAACAAUACAAUAUUUGAAGCGUAAAAGUGUCAUUACAAAUAGGGUUGCCGAUAUUGCGAUAUUGCAACUGAGUUCCUAAAAUUUUUCACUUUCUCAUAUAACUUUUUUCCCUGACCAUGUAAAACAACUUUCCUGUUUCGGUGUACUUGAAACAUGUUAAAAGGUUUGUUUCAUAUGACAAGUCCGAGUAUUCUUAGAUUUUUCCCUUUGUUAUAUCUCGAAAUAAGUUUGUCUCUGAUCUCAAGCUUCUGUAUGAUAUCCUUGAUUACUUACCAACUUCAUUUAACUAUAGAUAGUCCAAUAGAUAGCUAAGUAGCCCAAUUUACAGCGAAAAACUCUGUUAUCCAUUCAUUUUAGACUACUAUCACACUCCUGGUAAUCAAAAAAGUUACACAAACCAAAGGCACGAGACUUGCGCCAUGCUCGCUAACUUCUUAAAAAACUUGUGCAUUCUGGCUGGAUGUUUUAUACUGAUGGGCACGGUUCACAAGAUAAGAGAUAGAUUUCUGAGAUUGGAAACUUAUCAAGUGUUGCCAUAUCGGCCCGGAAGUAACAAUGGUAUUUGAUAACGAGCAAGCAAAGAGUUUCUCAAUAUAUAAAACAUCAGCUAUUCGGGGGCGAAAGGUUUUAUAAAGAUUUCCUUGGAGAAAACUGUUUUACAAGGAGAGUUUUGGAUGCCCUGUAUCUAUGCCCAUCAUCUCAUCGCAAUCCCCAAUCACAACUCUACAAAACGGCGAAUCUUCAAAAUAGCUUUGGUCUGGAACUAAGGGUCUAUUCGGCAUUGGGGAGCAUAUAAGAAAAAACCAAAGUUGGGGCAAAAGCAUACUGGUAUAUGGGAUUGUCGAAAAUCUAGCUUAACCGAUUCAUUGCAAUAUACAGAAGAUUAUGUUAUAUACGUAAAUAAACAGACUAUUCUACUAUCGUGCUUUCUUAGCCCAUGUAAUGCAAUCUCUCUGCAAUCUGAAACUGUUUGUAUAGUUCAAAGAGGGGAGAGGAUCAAACUCACCGUGACCUCGAUGGGCACGCGAGUGUCGAUCCGAUGUUGGUAGUAGAGGUCAAUGCAGUCGACGCUGAGCCGCUUCAGGCUCGCCUCACACGCGGCACGCACGUACGCCGGGUCGCCACAGAAGUUUAUCUCACCGUCGCUGACUCGGAUGCCAAACUUGGUCGCCAGCUGCACCUUCUGCCUCACUCCAUCUUGCAAGGCCUGUGAAGCAUUUCAUCAAACACUUCAUAGGCAUCCCCAAAAAAAAAAAAAAACAAACCCAAUUUUCUUGGAGGUACAAUUGCAUUACAGGGCAAUUCCAAACGGUCUAUUGGCUAUUAUUUGUUGAUUAUUUCAAUUUUACUUACUGAAAAUAAUUAGAACUAAUGAAUUUGAUUAAACCACCAACAAAUUCAAUAAACUCUGCAUUACAGCAGACCCUGUAACUUACUCUUUUUUCAAAUAACACCUUUUAACUUCUAUUCUAAUAGUUUUGUUUCAGUUUUAUUUACCAAAGAAGGUGUUGGAAGCGUGAUUUGUUCUGAUACCAUUUGUUGGAACCGGUAUUUUUGCUGAUACCGAUUAUAUAACUCAAGAUCUAAAAUAGAACAAAAUAAUAUGAAGAAAAGAUAUUGAAAGAGGAAGAAGAAGAUAACUAAAACUUUAUUAAUAAAAAGUAAUUAAUUACAUUCUGGGAAACACUCAUGCAGCUAUAUCUACUAUCAGGGACGGAGCUAUGUUGGGGCUAAGGGGGGGGGGCAUGGCCCCCCCCCUAAUUUUUAUAAUUUGCAUAAUAGUCCUUUUUAUAUAAAAAUUUAAAAAAUAUUUUUUAUUUAAUUUUAAAAGUAUGACGAGCAACCUAUUUUUUUUUAAAAAAAUUUGGCACUAAUAUAAUGCUCUCUCAACUCUGAGUUUAUUUAUUUAUUUUUUAUUUAUUACCUUCAUAACUUCUAAUUAUUUUAGAUAUUUUUUUACUUCUAAUUAUUUUAGAUACGUUUUUUAUUUAAUUAAAUUAAAGGUUAUAUUAAAGUUAAUAGCUAUGUCAACUAAUAGUCAUUUAUUGUCACAAUUAUAUUUAGUAAAAAUUAAUAAAUUAAAUCAUUCACUGAAUUACUAUUAGAUUUAGUAAAUUUCAAAAUUAUUUGAAUGAAAUAAUAUAAAUAAAAUAAUUAGAAGUUAAGUAAGUAUAAAUAAAAAAGGGUAAUGCUUUUUUACACUAAUUAUUUAGUCAAUAUAUUUUUUCAUCAAAAAUUAGACGAGGUAAAUUUUGUUUAUUUGCUAAAAUUUUAAUUUGUAUGUAUUUUUGUCCCCCCUCAUAAUCGAGUGCUAGCUUCGUUCUUGUCUACUAUGUAUAGCCAUCAAAUCAUAACAGAUAAUAAAUUCAGUUUUAUUUUGGAUAAUUACAUAUUCUGAUCACAAUCAAAGAAUAGAUUUAAAGUUAUCUCUAAAUAUAUUUGAAUUAAGUUUGGAGUAUUAUUCCAACAGAAGAACAAGAAGAUUCAAGAAGAAAGAGAAGCAUGAUUUAUGUG